UACGUAGGGUGCAAGCGUUAAUCGGAAUUACUGGGCGUAAAGCGUGCGCAGGCGGUUUUGUAAGUCUGUCGUGAAAAUCCCCGGGCUCAACCUGGGAAUUGCGAUGGAGACUGCAAGGCUAGAAUCUGGCAGAGGGGGGUAGAAUUCCACGUGUAGCAGUGAAAUGCGUAGAGAUGUGGAGGAACACCGAUGGCGAAGGCAGCCCCCUGGGUCAAGAUUGACGCUCAUGCACGAAAGCGUGGGGGAGCAAACAGG
This 255-nucleotide ribosomal RNA is filed under the name uncultured bacterium. RNAcentral's name for it is "partial 16S ribosomal RNA". It matches the Rfam family "Bacterial small subunit ribosomal RNA", at positions 524 to 776 of the family's 1533-position model. The record is from RNAcentral.